CAUGGGCAACAAUCUUAUGGAGAUCAAGGCAUUCCUCAAGCAAUUGACAGAUUGAUUCUUCCUCAAAGAUCUAGGAACCUUGAGCUACUUUUUGGAAGUGUAAGCUACUCAAUACCGAUAAGUACUUGGCUCAUUACAGUACUUAGCUCUCACCCGUUAAGUCAUCUCAUUUGUGGUCAAUAAAUUAUUACAAUUCAUGUAUCGACCAUCUACUACGUAUUGGUUUGUAGUUAAACGAAUCUUGUGAUAUCUUAAAGGAGCCUUCAAUUAUGGCCUCUUUCUCCAUAAAUACUUCAUACUUCAUCUCCAUGCCUUUGUCGAUGCUGAUUGGAUAGAAAACUUUAAUAAUAGAACAUCCACGUUGGGGGUAUAUUGUCUUCCUUAGUGCUAAUUUAAUCAGUUGGAGUUCUAAGAAACAAAAGACAAUCGCACGGUCUAUAUCUGAAGUUGAAUACUGUGUCAUCGCCAUUGCUACUAUAGAAUUCAAUUGGGUCACGAAUCUGCUCAAGGAACUUGAUAUCAACUCUAUCUUUACUCCUACAAUAUAUUAUGAUAAUGUCGGAACUACUUACUUUUGCAUAAUGUCGGAGCUACCUACUUGUGCACCAAUCUAGUAUUCCACUCACGCAUGAAACAUAUCGCCAGCGACUCACUUCACGCGAGAUCAAGUUGUCAAACAUCAACUACGUGUUUCUUAUGUACAUAUGGUUGAUCAACUAGCAAACUCACUUACGAAACCUUCUGUCCACAAACUAUUUUCAUUACAUCAGUCCAAGAUCGAUAUCUUUGACAGGAACACCAUCCUACGGGAGCAUGAUAGCAGAUAAGAUUUUUUUCAACUAUAUAAAAAAAAUUUACUGUUCUGUAGCACGAAAUCUUUUCUUCUAACUUAUAUAAAUAGAAAAUAUAUUAAUAAACUUUAAUUAGACUUUGUCUUCCGUUUCACUAAUCACCCAUUAGACGCCGAUGCAUGAGCUGGGCCGGACCUGCAGUCUUCCCGUGAGCGCAAGCAUCAGAAACGCAAAUAACAGCAGCGAAGCUGGCGAUCGGAUCACCAUAGUGAAUGAGGAGGCUAUCGGUCUGUCUCUCUCUCUCUCCCAGUUAGGCACAGCCAAAGGCAAGCUUGUGGUGGUCUGUCAUCAACAAAGCCAUGCGACAUGGUUAUAUAGGAAAAAGUGGGUGAUGAAGCCGAUGACGUAUGUGGAUGCGCGAAUUAAUGCUUUCUAGAGACUGGCAUGUCACAUUGUCUCAGCGUGUUAUUUUGUAUCUGUUUUGAUUUAAAUUCAUCCAAAAAUAAUAAAAAAAAAGAGACGGAUAUGCUGGAAGAGUUGAGAAGACUGGAUUUGGAUAAGGGAUACGUGUUCGGCCAAUCAAUAAGUGACACGACCUGGAUCAUGACUCGCUCACUUCACGUACGGAUGACAGUACCUCGUCCUGUGUCAUCGGUUCAAUAAUAAACAUAAUAAUUUGCGUAGCACUCACAAAGAAAAACCAAAACGACUAAAACGUGGCGUUCCAAAUGGACGGCCAUGAAAUUUGCAAUGCCUUGUUAAGACAUUAACCUUCGUUCAAAUGAUAAUAAUUUACACAUCAGUGACUAAAAGAAGACGCACGCGACGCUCCAAAUGGACGGCCGUGAAAUUGGAUGGACAUUUUUGGACACACCUCACGGAUGUUUUAUCCACGAAAAAGCCAAAAGAAGUGUGGCAGCAGUAAUUGAAGUGCUACGGGGUUUCUCCGACCGCGAAUGAUGGGUCAUUUGUCCGGCAAUGACGUGUUCGACCCUCCGCAUAAAAUCUAAAAGAGAGAGAGAGAGACAAAAGAAGUGUGGCAGCAAGAAUUGAAGUGCUACGGGGUUUCUCCGACCGCGAAUGAUGGGUCAUUUGUCCGGCAAUGACGUGUUCGACCCUCCGCAUAAAAUCUAAAAGAGAGAGAGAGAGAGAGAAAAAGAAGAAAAGAUUUUUAAAAAAUGAUAAGUAUGUUCGUGAAGCAAAUGCUGAGUCACUUCCUAUUUGUUCCCACCUUCUACCUACAUGUUCAUCGAUGGUGUAUAAAAAUUAUCUCUAAAUCGGCUCAGUUAUAUUAUUUUUAUAUGAUGUUGUAAUAUUUUUAAUAAUACCAGAAAAUACUAUAAUAUAAUGAUUUUUACUGCAUUACAGUAUUUUUUUAUUUUCAGUAAUACCAUUUAUCCAUGUUACAUGGGUUUUUUUUUGUGUAAUUACUAUAUUUGAAUUUUACCAUCUUAAAAUUUUCAAUACUAGAUUUUUUUGAAAAGAUAAGUGACAAAAACUGAAUUCGAAUGUGAAAGUUUUUAUAACUAAACUGACUUAACACUUUUAAAUACUAGACAUAUUGAUCAUCAUAGAUUGGUAUUUACUAGUUUGAUAAUAAAUUGAUGCAUGAUCAAAUUUUUUUUCAUUUCACAUUCGAUACCUAUUCGGACUUAUUACACAAUAUAAUUGAUGUAUCAAAUGUACCCUAGCUUACUAUUAUAUAUCAUUCUUUAUAUUGAUAGUUUUUGUCAAUUAUUUUCUCUUUGUUCUCCUCAUAUAUUCUCUCUAUCCUCAUGCGUUUUCUCUCAUCCUUUCUCUAUCGAUAUCAUUGUUGUUGUUGUCUCCUCUAUAUCAUCGCCAUCAUCUUCUACUUUUUUUUUUUUUUUUUCUGUUUUUUCUCAUCCUCAAAUCUUCUUUUUCUCCUUAUGCUUUGCAUUUUUUUUAUCUUGUAUUUGGUCCGAACAAUGCUGACCCAUAUUGAGCAUCAAUGUAUAAAUUUGUAUCGAAAUAAUAUGGAUUAGGCCAACCGUUGUACAUAAAGAUAUAUCGAACGUGAAAAAUUUAUGGGGACGAUAGCCACCCUUUUAUUUUUUCUUUUUUGUUAAAUUUUAUGCGGAGGGUCGAACCGAACACAUGGAUAAAUGACCCAUAAUUCACGUGAAAAAGAAAAAAAUAUUUUUUUCUUUUUGUUAAAUUUUAUGCGGAGGGUCGAACACGUCGUUGCUGGACAAAUGACCCAUCAUUCUUGGUCGGAGAAACCCCGUACCACUUCGAUUAUUGCUGCCACACUUCUUUUGGCUUUUUGUGGAUAAAGCACCCGUGAGCUGUGUCCAAAAUGGUCCAUCCAAUUUCACGGCCGUCCAUUUGGAACGUCACGUGCGUCUUCGUUUAGUCACUGAUGUGUAAAUUAUUAUCAUUUGAACGAAGGUUAAUGUCUUAACAAGGCAUUGCAAAUUUCAUGGCCGUCCAUUUGGAACGCCACGUUUUAGUCGUUUUGGUUUUUCUUUGUGAGUGCUACGCGAAUUAUUAUGUUUAUUAUUGAACCGAUGACACAGGACGAGGUACUGUCAUCCGUACGUGAAGUGAGCGAGUCAUGAUCCAGGUCGUGUCACUUAUUGAUUGGCCGAACACGUAUCCCUUAUCCAAAUCCAGUCUUCUCAACUCUUCCAGCAUAUCCGUCUCUUUUUUUUAUUAUUUUUGGAUGAAUUUAAAUCAAAACAGAUACAAAAUAACACGCUGAGACAAUGUGACAGGCCAGUCUCUGGAAAGCAUUAAUUCGCGCAUCCACAGACGUCGUCAGCUUCAUCACCCACUUUUUCCUAUAUAACCAUGUCGCAUGGCUUUGUUGAUGACAGACCACCACAAGCUUGCCUUUGGCUGUGCCUAACUGGGAGAGAGAGAGAGACAGACCGAUAGCCUCCUCAUUCACUAUGGCGAUCCGAUCGCCAGCUUCGCUGCUGUUAUUUGCGUUUCUGAUGCUUGCGCUCACAGGAAGACUGCAGGCCCGGCGCAACUCAUGCAUUGGCGUCUACUGGGGACAAAAGACAGACGAGGGAAGCUUAGCAGAUGCUUGUGCCACAGGCAACUACGAAUACGUGAACAUCGCCACCCUUUUCAAGUUUGGCAUGGGCCAAACUCCAGAGAUCAACCUCGCUAGCCACUGUGACCCUCAGAACAACGGCUGCGCGCGCUUAAGCAGCGAAAUCCAGUCCUGCCAGGAGCGUGGAGUCAAGGUGAUGCUCUCCAUCGGAGGUGGCGGGUCUUAUGGCCUGAGUUCCACCGAAGACGCCAAGGACGUGGCGUCAUACCUCUGGCACAGUUUCUUGGGUGGUUCUGCUGCUCGCUACUCUCGACCCCUCGGGGAUGCGGUUCUGGAUGGCAUAGACUUCAACAUCGCCGGAGGGAGCACAGAACACUACGAUGAACUUGCCGCUUUCCUCAAGGCCUACAACGAGCAGGAGGCCGGAACGAAGAAAGUUCACUUGAGUGCUGCUCCGCAGUGUCCUUUCCCGGAUUACUGGCUUGGCAACGCACUCAGAACAGAUCUCUUCGACUUCGUGUGGGUGCAGUUCUUCAACAACCCUUCGUGCCAUUUCUCCCAGAACGCUAUCAAUCUUGCAAAUGCGUUCAACAAUUGGGUCAUGUCCAUCCCUGCGCAAAAGCUGUUCCUUGGGCUUCCUGCUGCUCCUGAGGCUGCUCCAAGUGGUGGCUACAUUCCACCCCAUGNNNNNNNNNNNNNNNNNNNNAUCUCAUAUCUAAAGUUCUUCCGAUCCUAAAGGAUUCCGACAAGUACGCAGGAAUCAUGCUGUGGACUAGAUACCACGACAGAAACUCCGGCUACAGUUCUCAAGUCAAGUCCCACGUGUGUCCAGCGCGUCGGUUCUCCAACAUCUUAUCUAUGCCGGUGAAGUCUUCCAAGUAAACCUGAACGGCGUAGAUGAUCGGUGGUCGAUAACUCCGAUCAUCAUGGGUCCCCCAUCGUAUCCGUGCGUGCUACGUAUGGUGUUUCGCUUGUAUGUGGUCUUUUCAAUAAUAUAAUAAGGGGGUGGUUUUACGUAUCCAUAUUUUCGAUGUUCGAAAACAGUAUAUUUGCUGCCCCUUCCAAAUUUGAAAAAGAUAAAAUAAAUAAAUAACUAAAAAUAUUCUUUUUUUUUUCUUUCGACAAAUAUAUAACUCUCAACUUUCCCAAUUGUUUAAGCAAAAGAUAUAAAUUCUGAAGAUCAAUAUGCUACCGCUUAAGAUGCAUACUUCCACUGUUAGGGAAACAUAUUCAAAUAUCAGUAAAGAAAUACAAUUUUGAGAAGUUGAGAAGCAAAGGUAGAUCAAUAAGUAAAUACACAACACAACUCUAUUAAUUGUUAUACUAACUUGGUAAUUAUUACAUACUCAUACCUAUAUUUAUAAAGAAAAUUAACUAAUUUUACUAUAUACUUUAACUAUAACCGACAUAAAUAUUUCUUUUUUAUUUUUGUUGCACAACAAUUAUGGUAGCUAAGCUGGUGACUCUACAACUAAUUAACCAACUUCACUAAGUCGAUCCUAAAAUAAAGUAAGCGACAUUCGUUUGAUGUAAUUUAUGUUGUGCCCAUGAUUUUAGGUCAUCGAGAAAACUAUAUAACUUAUAAUUAUCAUAGAUGUCUUGUAUGUUCAAUACCGAUGUGGAGAACUACUUUACAUAAUCGAGAAUCAAAGUACUUUGGUAUAGUUAUCUCAUCUUCCUUUUUGAUAUGAACUAACUGAAUUCUCAACUCCCAUUUUAAGUCCUCCUAUAUAUCCAUUCAAUAUCAACCUUGUUGGAUCUCUUCCUAACAUAUUCAUCACUAAAGUUUUACCUCCCUAUUCAGAUAUAUGGUUACUAUCAAUGCUUUACUUUCUUCAUAAUCGAGCCUCGUAGUUCAAAAGUACUAUUCAUAUCAAACAAAAUAAUUCUCGAGCUUCUUUGCAUCCCUAACAUCCCCUUAGCAAUACAACUCGAGUGCUCUAAAGUUUUGUGACCGAGUGUUGCUCCAUCCCAUAUUAAGAACCCUCGUGAGCAAUAUAAUCUUGGGCAUGAGUUUCAUUAUGACUUCGAGUAGGUGCCGCAUGAAAUCUUUGGUGUCUUCCGUUAGUCGAUCUACUUAAAACUCAAUAUUGUCGAUUUGUGAUUUCACCUCCUUAGCAAGUUCUCUAUCCCAAAAAAUCUUUAUUGACCUUAGUAUAGUUUUUCUAUACUCACUUCGAGAACAUCGUUUCUAUAGGUAUAAGCCUUUCCUUAUAGCAUUUUUUUUGUUGAUGCUUUAGAUUACGUUUUCUUUGCUCAGGAGAAUAGCCAGCUUCUCGCUCCCUAUUUUCACUAUUGUACUCCUCUUGAGUGACUUCAACAACUUGAGAGUGAGUUUGCACUUGUAGGCCCCCCUUGUAAUUACUUAGGGCAAUGGUCUGAUUUGCCCCGUCUUGUUCGAUUUACCAGGGUGCUUAGCCAUAGUAAGAUUGAGAACUUUAACUAUUUGCUCAUGUUGCUUACCUACUCUAAUACUACAAUGCCAUGGACUUAACUGAAAUUGCCUAAGUCAUUAGGCACCAUUGCGUUAUCUGUUCGUAAAAUGUCAACCUAGUUGCAACCUUGCUUAGGUUUCGAAGGAUCUAUAAAAAAAUAAAUUGAUUAGUUUUGAAAAUCAACAAUGGUCAAGUUCGAUGUCUCGCAAAGAUAGCAACUUUACAACUAAUUCAACGAACAUUUAGUGUGAAAAAGAGAAAAAAGAGGAAGGAGAAAAUAAGUACUUUAGAAAGCAAAUGAACUGUUACAAGCUGACAAACGAUUGCUCAAUUGGGUGUCGGGUGUGUGGACAAGUUCUUGUAAGCUUUACAUGCAAACUUAUGAAUCCAAUCAAUGCUCGACACUACCUUAGACCCCCAUCAAGUCCUAUGUCACCUAUGUGAUAUAGGGUGUUGAGAUGAUUGACAUUUUACAUUGUACUAUAGCCUAUAGAAAAUAAAUCAUGACACAUAAAAACUGGUUAUUUUGGAUAGUUUUACUUAUUCUAGUGAGCAAUCAUUUUGUAGUUCUAUAAACUAUUCCUGUUUAUAAUUUUUAAAGAAAAAUACACAAAAACAAAACAAAUGAAUGAUGUUUGGCAAUAUACUUGUUGAGGCACCCUAGUUGAUCCGUAUUAACAUAUGUUUAGCAUCACAAUAUUAAAGUUUAAAAUUAAAAUAUUAAAUUAUAAUUAACAUAAAAAUUGGACAUACUAUCUUAUCGAACGCCAUCCAGUACCUUCUCACAAUAUGAAAUAAAUUAUAAUACAUAAAAAUAUUUUUCUUAAAGUCCAACACGACGAGGUGCUAAUGAAAUUUUCUAUUCAGAAAUAUGAAAUCGAUCCAUCUAUCAAAAUUUAUUUGAUAGCUUGGGUUGAACAUCAAAGUCCCUACUUAUUGAUAUUAUUUUUAUAUUAAAAAUAAUAAUAACCAAAAUAAUUAAAUAUAUUAGAAAUACAUAAUUUAGUAAGAGAUGAUAAAACGAUAUUACCUAAAAACAUGUUAUAAUAAUUGUAUUUCCGUAACAUUAGCAAAGGAUCUUAUUGUAAAUACAAGAAUUAUAGUGACUAAAUUGCAAAAGUACAAAAGAAAAUAAAAGGUUUUUUUUUGGCCCUACUGCCUCUCUCCUCGCAUAAUCACCUCUCCCUUGUACAAGAGGCUUCGGUGAGGUGAAAUCAAGCAGAAGACAAGGGGGAAAGGAAGAUUAGAAGAUAAAAAGAGGGAGAGGAAGAAGGAAAGAGAGAAGCUAAGGAGGCAUUGGCUGUAAGAACAGAAAGGCAGAGAAGAACAGAAGAAAAGGAAAAUAGAAAGGGACGAAGGAAGAAAAAGAAUAGAAAGGAAGGAAGUGGAGAGAAAGAAAAGAGUAAAAAAAGAAGUAAUAGAGGAUCGGGUGUGAGAAUAGGGUGGGGUUUCUAAAGAUGAGGAAAACGCGAUGAUAAUCUAAGUUGUAAAUGAAUAGUAUUUCUGAUUAUUAUAUCUGGGACGACAAGAAAGUGCACCUUUCGUGGUUGUCUUUCUGGAUAUUAUUAGAUUAUGAUAUCUUCAUGAAUGGAGAUGUGAUCGAUACAUUCCAUUGUCAUUGCAUCAAAAAUUGUCAAGUCCUGUGCAUCAAUUGUUACAAGCAUUAUUGUAAUACCACCAACCCAGCAAA
Molecule: long non-coding RNA, 7938 nt
Filed under: Musa acuminata (dwarf banana)
Lineage: Eukaryota; Viridiplantae; Streptophyta; Magnoliopsida; Zingiberales; Musaceae
Description: long non-coding RNA (MACU_LNC010634)
Source: RNAcentral